AUUACGUCCCUGCCCUUUGUACACACCGCCCGUCKCUACUACCGAUUGAAUGGCUUAWUGAGGCCUUCGGAUUGAAAUUCGGAGACUGGCAACAGACUCUUGGUUUUGAAGAGUUGGACAAACUUGGUCAUUUAGAGGAAGUAAAAGUCNUAACAAGGUUUCCGUAGGUGAACCUGCGGAAGGAUCAUU
RNAcentral lists this ribosomal RNA (189 nucleotides) under Glomus sp. Att1192-44. Its description in RNAcentral is "partial 18S ribosomal RNA". It matches the Rfam family "Eukaryotic small subunit ribosomal RNA". The record is from RNAcentral. Lineage: Eukaryota; Fungi; Glomeromycota; Glomeromycetes; Glomerales; Glomeraceae.